This 54-nucleotide transfer RNA is filed under the name Aneides lugubris. RNAcentral's name for it is "partial tRNA-His". Lineage: Eukaryota; Metazoa; Chordata; Amphibia; Caudata; Plethodontidae. The record is from RNAcentral.
GUAUAUAUAAUUUAAAUAAAAUAUUAAACUGUGACUUUAAUUAUGAGAGUUGAA